This 414-nucleotide ribosomal RNA is filed under the name uncultured microorganism. Its description in RNAcentral is "bacterial SSU rRNA". It matches the Rfam family "Archaeal small subunit ribosomal RNA", at positions 330 to 745 of the family's 1478-position model. The record is from RNAcentral.
GCGCACCAGUCGAGAAACCUCCGCAAUACACGAAAGUGUGACGGGGCCAUCCCGAGUGCCGUCCGCUGAGGACGGCUUUUCCCCAGUGUACACAGCUGGGGGAAUAAGGAGAGGGCAAGCCUGGUGUCAGCCGCCGCGGUAAUACCAGCUCUCCGAGUGGUGGGGACGCUUAUUGGGCCUAAAGCAUCCGUAGCCGGCUGGGCAAGUCCUCCGUUAAAUCCAACGAUUCAAUCGUUGGGCUGCGGGGGAUACUGUCCAGCUUGGGGGCGGGAGAGGCCGACGGUAUUCCCGGGGUAGGGGUGAAAUCCUAUAAUCCCGGGAGGACCACCAGUGGCGAAGGCUGUCGGCCAGAACGCGCCUGACGGUGAGGGAUGAAAGGCUGGGGGAGCGAACCGGAUUAGAUACCCGCGUAGU